Molecule: transfer RNA, 68 nt
Filed under: Paulasterias sp. SS-2022
Lineage: Eukaryota; Metazoa; Echinodermata; Asteroidea; Forcipulatida; Paulasteriidae
Description: tRNA-Glu
Rfam family: tRNA
About the family: Transfer RNA (tRNA) molecules are approximately 80 nucleotides in length. Their secondary structure includes four short double-helical elements and three loops (D, anti-codon, and T loops). Further hydrogen bonds mediate the characteristic L-shaped molecular structure. tRNAs have two regions of fundamental functional importance: the anti-codon, which is responsible for specific mRNA codon recognition, and the 3' end, to which the tRNAs corresponding amino acid is attached (by aminoacyl-tRNA synthetases). tRNAs cope with the degeneracy of the genetic code in two manners: having more than one tRNA (with a specific anti-codon) for a particular amino acid; and 'wobble' base-pairing, i.e. permitting non-standard base-pairing at the 3rd anti-codon position.
Source: RNAcentral
AUUCCUGCAGUUGAAGACAACAAUAACUUUUCAUGUUUUAGGUUUGGGUUAAACCCCCAACAAGAAUU